This 2964-nucleotide unclassified non-coding RNA is filed under the name Leishmania donovani. RNAcentral's name for it is "gene:LdHU3.31.0960(CDS-product:mitochondrial_RNA_ binding_complex_1_subunit_putative)". Lineage: Eukaryota; Euglenozoa; Kinetoplastea; Trypanosomatida; Trypanosomatidae. The record is from RNAcentral.
AUUUGCAUUUCUAUCGCUUUCUUGACAGCGAUGAAGCGGUUUUCAAUGGCGCCGGCGCUGCGGGCUGUCGCACCGCCGUCGCCCGGCGCCUUCGCAUGCCUUUCCGUAUCGUGCGGCUGCGCCUCUCACUACCAGAAGCGGUGGGCCGGGACGCAGCGACGCGUCAUCCGGCCCACUGAAGAAAGCGUCGCCGAACUGAUGGAGGAUGCCGAUGAAGAGGGUGCUUGCAUCAGCACUGUCAGUGUCUCGUCCUUCGCCGCCCCCGCGCCGCUUUCGGCCAUCUCAGAGUCCGCGGCGCUCUACCGGAGGGUGGCAGCAGCGGGUUUUGACGGCAAAGCGGCGCAGGCAGCGAAAAGACGCCGCAGCGGCCAUGCCGGUGACGGCGAUGCAAGUGCCACGGAUGAUGCCGCGCCUACAAAAACUACUCACGAUGCAGUCGAGGCAGAGGCGCUCGCGGGGACCUCCGCAGGCGAUGGCGACGACGCUGUCGUCGAGGAGGCGAGAGGGGACGAGACGUACAUCCUUCAGCAGCAGCAGUACUACUACGAGCUUCCCGUGCAGCCGCUUACCGAUAUCGCAACCGCCUACUUGCGCUCUACAGAGAACAUUGUCCUCGUGUCGCCGCAGGAGGAGCACAUCCUGUUUCCUGUUCUUAUGGAGCGCCUGCAGGAGUUCCACGUAUCACAGCUGCUGGACAUUGUCGACAGUCACUGGAGUCGGUCUACCAUGCUUCGCUACGGCACCCAGUACAAGGAUAUGGUGCGUGACCGCAUUGCUCAGCUCGCCACCGCCGCGGCGACGCAGUUGGAGGCGAAGAGGAGGAGGCAGCAGGAGCAGCAGUCGUCUUCCAGCGCGGCAGAGUCGACGUCCGCCGCUGCCGGCGCAUUUGGGGCGACGGGGAGAGGUGAGGGUCACAGUACGAAGGCUAGGGGUGCCAGCGAGGAGUGCGAGGAUGACGGCGCCGUGUUCGUGGCCGAGAAACAGGCAGCCGAUGCGCAGCGCUCUGCUGACGCUAUUCUGGCUCACGCCGAGAAGGAGAUUACGUCCGCGACGGUGUACCGCGCCUUGGUGGUCAUGGGAAUCAGCGCGGGGCACCGUAAGCGCGACUUGGCCUUUUUCCAACUCCUCGGCAACUACUUAACCUUCUUUAUCAACGACUAUCGCGACCCGCAUGAGCUUGUACGCGUACUGACGGCGCUGGCGCGCGCGAAGAUAGUGCCGUCACCGGCGUUCCUCAACAUGAUUGCGCGCCGCAUGCCGGUGCUGCACAAGCGCAUCCCACUGGAGCCGCUGCCGGCCUAUCGCGCUCUCUCCAACUUUGCACGGAUGGGGCACACCUCUAUGAACACGUUCCGCUUCCUCGCGGACUGCAUGUUUGCCCACGUGGAAAAGCACAUCAGCGAGGAGAAGAAGCAGCUCACCACAAUGGCAGCCGCAUCAAAGAAGCCUGCAGCUGCGACAGAGGAGUCCGAUGCGAAGACAGCUCCAUCUACCGCCUCGGGCUCCGCAGCCUGCAUGGAUCGCGCGCAGAGGUGCAGCCAAGAGGUGCUGGAAAAGGAGCGACUGCGUCGCAUGUGCGGGCUGAAGCCGUCUAUGUUCACAAGGUGGCUCGCCAUCCUCGCUCGCUUCAACGCUCCGCAUCAGCAGUACCUGCGCCCUCUCAUCAAGCCGGUCAUCUUGCCGAUGCUACCGUACUUCCCACCACCAAGCUUCACUCGGCUGGUGAGCACGACGCGUGUGUUCAGGUCAACCGAUCGCGCUCUCGUGGACGCGCUGGUGGGGCGGGUGUGCGAUGUGCUCGCGCCAGCCGGCAAGCUGACACGCGUGGAUGCGAUGGAGUUGCUGCGGCUCAUCUCUCAGGAUGACACCCCCGUGCCUACUCAACUGGAUCGCGUCCUCCAGAUAUGCAAGGACUACCUUGGGAGCUCGACAAGCACCUACACGAUGGAAGAGGUGGCUCCGAGCAGCGCCGAGCGGAGCGCAGCUCCGCGGCCACGCGGCACAGUCACGGUUGUGCCGCGUCCGCGAGACAUGUGCAACGUGGUGAAGCUGAUCGGCUGCUUUCAGAAGCGGGAUGAGAUCCCGCUCGAGUCCCUCACCCCGCUGCUGGAGCUGACGGAGGACUUUGCAAAGCGCCUCGCGCAUCUGAUGGAGCUGUGCGUUGUGUCACUGACGCAGGUGGAUGCGUUUCUGGAGCUGUGCGAGCGGCACCAAAUUCCAGAUGUAUCGGGGGCGUUGGAGCAGCUAAUGCGGAAGCGACGGGAUGUGGUGCUGCAAGCCAAGCGCUCUCCAGAAGCGGCGGCGGAGGAUAGGGGCGGCAGAGGCAGCGCCACCGACGAUGAGGAGGCCGAGGAGGCGUACUACGGCCAGCUGGACAUCGACGUGCGCGAGACGUUCAACAAGAUUCUCCUUACAAACGACUGGAAUACCCACUGCCGCUACAGACCACUGCCUGGUCCGCUGCAGGUGGACUUCCGCAACGAGCUCACCAAGGUGUCUGCUCUCGAGCUUCUUCAGGCGGUGGACUUGUUUGCCAAAGCGUGCCCAGGUGCUCUGCAAGACGCGCCACGGCUCUUUCUCAGCCGCAGCCUACUAGAGAAGCUCGGUAAAGAGGGCGAGGUGGUGGUGGAGGAGGCAACGAACAGCCUUGUUAUUCGCCAACCCCGUGCCGAGCUUCUUACUCGCGAGGAUUUACAAACGUUCACGGCGCUGGUGGAGCGGACACCGCUGGAGGCAGUGCGCACCUCUCCGGUUGUGUGGGUGUUCAUCAAAGAGAAGGCCGAAAGACUCGGCUUGACUUCCGUCGAGGCAACGGCCACGGCGCGCCUCACCGAACUGCAUGGCAUGGCGCGGAGAGCGUAUGCCUAGCGAGCGAUCCUGUGCUGGCGAAGAUAUCGUCGCCGGCUCGAGGUCCACUUGGCGUGUUGGCAUCGUGGUGUGCUUGGUGUGUUUGUUCGGCUGUUC